RNAcentral lists this ribosomal RNA (406 nucleotides) under uncultured bacterium. RNAcentral's name for it is "partial 16S ribosomal RNA". It matches the Rfam family "Bacterial small subunit ribosomal RNA", at positions 30 to 526 of the family's 1533-position model. The record is from RNAcentral.
AUUGAACGCUGGCGGCAGGCUUAAUACAUGUAAGUCGAGCGAGCGGCGGACGGGUGAGUAAUGUCUGGGAAACUGCCUGAUGGAGGGGGAUAACUAAUGGAAACGGUAGCUAAUACCGCAUACUAUAAGAUGUGCCCAGAUGGGAUUAGCUAGUGGGUGGGGUAAUGGCUCACCUAGGCGACGAUCCCUAGCUGGUCUGAGAGGAUGACCAGCAACACUGGAACUGGGACACGGUCCAGACUCCUACGGGAGGCAGCAGUGGGGAAUAUUGCACAAUGGGCGCAAGCCUGAUGCAGCCAUGCCGCGUGUGUGAAGAAGGCCUUCGGGUUGUAAAGCACUUUCAGCGAGGAGGCGUUACUCGCAGAGGAAGCACCGGCUAACUCCGUGCCAGCCGCCGCGGUAAUUC